UGCCUUUUCGGUUAUAAUAGGCUUUUCUGAAGUUAUCUCGCAGUUUCUUCCAACGAUCCUGGCACUGCGUCACUGGAAAGAACAGAAAUGAAAAAUUAAUAACAUAACUCUUUUUUAUUUUAUAGUUCGUUUUGGUACGGCAGUCUUAUAUUUCUAUUUUGUGUGUUUGUUUUAUUUUUACAGAUUCCUCAUCACUGGUUGCAGUUUCAAAAACUUGUCAUUUAAUUUUCGAAUGGGAAUUUCUACAGUUCAUUCAAUUAUUCAUGAGACAAUCAGAGUAAUUUGUGAUGUUUUGAUGCCCAUAGUUAUGCAGAUGCCAGAUGAAGAAAUGUGGGAAAAGUACAGUGUUACUAGCUGUGGUCGACGCGAAAUACAGUUUUUUAAUUGUUGAUGUCGGAUCAUAUGGUAAAAAUAGCGACGGCGGAAUUUUACAGAAUUCAAAAUUUUGGAAAAAACUCAACACCAAUAAGUUAAAGCUGCCCCCAAAUAAACCUCUACCUAGUACCACUGAAAGCUUACCACAUGUUUUUAUAGGAGACGAGGCAUUUCCUUUGAGCAAUAAUAUAUUGCGGCCGUAUCCAAGAGAACAAGCAAGAACAGAAUUAUCAAAAAAAGUAUUUAAUCUGCGUUUAAGCAGGGCAAGAAAAGUCGUAGAAUGUGCAUUUGGAAUGCUAACUCAAAGAUUUGAAAUUUAUCAAAAACGAAUGAAAAUUCAGCCGAAGUACUGUGAUUUAAUUAUAUUAGCAACUACAUGUUUACAUAAUUUUUUAAUAGAAAAUCGGACGCCAGGACAAGAGAAUGAAUUUCACAGCAAUAUAAAUUUAUUAACAGCAAUAACAGACAAUAAUAAUGAAAACAGUUCUAAUAGCGACGCAGUUCUAACCACAAGGAAUAAAUUUAAGGAUUAUUUUUCAUCAAGUGGUGCUUUAGAUUGGCAAGAUCAAGUGGCUACGCGAGUUUCUUAAGUUAUAUUUAAUAAAAAUUGUCUACUACAUAAGUAUAUUCUAACGAUCAGAUACUCAAACGAGUUUUUAAAGUAAGGGCGCAUUUAAACUCAUGUUAUUCCUAUUUUGACUUUGAAUCUAACACGUCGCAGCACGAGUUUAAGAAGCCCUUGCUUUAAAAUUCGUUUGAGUAUCUGGGGGUAGGUGUAAAACAAUGAAAACCUUACUUACCACUUAUUCCGAGACAUUUGCUAAUUUCCUCCCAUGCAUUGUCUUUCAUUAUCCGAUCGCUAUAUGAUGGCUUGGUUAUGUCAAAUAAACACUCAUAUUUUGA
Molecule: long non-coding RNA, 1278 nt
Organism: Nymphalis io (European peacock)
Lineage: Eukaryota; Metazoa; Arthropoda; Insecta; Lepidoptera; Nymphalidae
Exons: 2
Source: RefSeq, a predicted model, not a curated record